Molecule: long non-coding RNA, 735 nt
Filed under: Brassica rapa (field mustard)
Lineage: Eukaryota; Viridiplantae; Streptophyta; Magnoliopsida; Brassicales; Brassicaceae
Description: long non-coding RNA (BRAP_LNC005235)
Source: RNAcentral
UUGAUGACAGUUUUAUUACUUUUUCCUCUUUUUUGAAAGAUCGACUAGAGCAGUCCAAUUCUCUAUUUAUUCGCCCGUAGGAAGAUAUCUUCUCUAUACAUACAAACAAACACACAUAAAUUCAUAUACACUCAUACAUCUAUUUCUUAUAGCUUUAAGAAGAUCAUGAGCUCCGAGGGACUAAAGCCGUUUAAGAAGAAAGAAGGGACUGUGAUCCCCAAGAAGAGAGAGUUGGUGAAGACAAAAAUCCUCAAAGCCAUUCUCUCUUUCCUCCGUCGCUCUGACAGCAAAAAAAGUUCCGACGGAAAGCGCGUGUAUCCCACUCGCCGAUGACCUCCGCUCUUUUAUCAUGGAGUUACUAUCAUGAUCUUUUAUGGUUUCGUCUCCUCUGUUUGUUUCAUUUGUUAUAGUAUAUUUAAGUAGAAGGAAGCUUAAUUAGCCUUGUUGAAGAUUAUCUGUUUCUUUUUAUUCGAGGUGUGGUUUCUCAGUCUUCGAGAAAGGGAAAUAUUUCAUGAAUGAUGAAUUUAUAUGUUUAGUCCUCUUCUUGUGUAAACCCCAUUCAUAUAUGAAUCAUGAGGCGUUGUGAUUAGUUAUGGUACGAUAGUCUUUAAAGCAUACUCUGUUUUUAUGGUGUUGAUAGAUUGUUGUUAUGAUCUGAUCAUACGAUGUUGUUUCGGAUAUAAUAUGCCAAAACGUGCUGUCUCGAAAUUAAUUAAUAAAUUUUGUAAUAAUGAU